UACGGGGGGAGCAAGCGUUGUUCGGAUUUACUGGGCGUAAAGGGCGCGUAGGCGGCCACCGCAAGUCGAUUGUGAAAUCUCCGGGCUUAACCCGGAAAGGUCAACCGAUACUGCGGGGCUAGAGUGCAGAAGGGGCAACUGGAAUUCUCGGUGUAGCGGUGAAAUGCGUAGAUAUCGAGAGGAACACCUGCGGCGAAGGCGGAUCUCUGGACAGUUCCUGACGCUGAGGCGCGAAGGCCAGGGGAGCAAACGGG
Molecule: ribosomal RNA, 254 nt
Filed under: uncultured bacterium
Lineage: Bacteria
Description: partial 16S ribosomal RNA
Rfam family: Bacterial small subunit ribosomal RNA
Source: RNAcentral